Molecule: ribosomal RNA, 460 nt
Filed under: uncultured bacterium
Lineage: Bacteria
Description: partial 16S ribosomal RNA
Rfam family: Bacterial small subunit ribosomal RNA
Source: RNAcentral
CCUACGGGAGGCAGCAGUGAGGAAUAUUGGUCAAUGGACGAGAGUCUGAACCAGCCAAGUAGCGUGAAGGAUGACUGCCCUAUGGGUUGUAAACUUCUUUUAUAAAGGAAUAAAACGAGGCACGUGUGCCUGUUUGCAUGUACUUUAUGAAUAAGGAUCGGCUAACUCCGUGCCAGCAGCCGCGGUAAUACGGAGGAUCCGAUCGUUAUCCGGAUUUAUUGGGUUUAAAGGGAGCGUAGAUGGGUUGUUAAGUCAGUUGUGAAAGUUUGCGGCUCAACCGUAAAAUUGCAAUUGAUACUGGCAGUCUUGAGUACAGGUGAGGUAGGCGGAAUUCGUGGUGUAGCGGUGAAAUGCUUAGAUAUCACGAAGAACCCCGAUUGCGAAGGCAGCUUACUAAACUGUGACUGACAUUGAGGCUCGAAAGUGUGGGUAUCAAACAGGAUUAGAUACCCGUGUAGUC